CUCGUGCAGUAUAAGAUUAUGACAUAAAUGUAUUCAGUUAAGACACCUUUUUUUCAGUUUUAUUUUUAGCUGACUUCCUCUUCAUUUGGAGAGGUGCACAUGUUUCCUCUGGGCUUUGUGGAGCCUGGUAAGGGAUUGGAUGCCACGCAGCAGGCCAGACAUUGUUCUUCCCUGUUUUCCUUUAACCGCUACCACACAGCAGCAUCCACAACUGCCAAUUAUUGCUAUUUCAGGAACUGACCUUAAAGGUCCUCCACUUCUGGCAAUACUGUGCUUAAAAUAAAAGGAUGACGUCAAGAGGUCCAGGAGCAACGUUUUAAGCUGACUUGCAUGUGAUCACUUUGAGCGUGGAAAGAUUGUGCGUCUGUAUGCGUAUGCGUGUGUCUCCGUCCAUGAUUUUUGACGAUGGAGGUUCCAGCAAACGUGUGUAUCGCAAGCGCUCGUCCACCGCUGCAACCUGCCGUGCCCUCCAUUCCGAUCCACAGGCACCUCCGGCGACCUGGGUUUCAGGCAGCGUCCCACACUCACAUCUCACUACGAGGGGCUCGUAACUCUCCGUGGUCGUGUGCCUGCUUGGUUGUUGGGACGACACCAAGCUGAUUCAGCGUGCAAAUUUAACACCUCUGAGGCUGGCGAAGGUGUGUGACGCAAGAGGCGUGUAAAUCCCUGAAGGAGCUUCUUUUUCCAGUUUCGGAGCUGCGAGGAAUUGCUGCAGAAAUGGCUUUUUUUUUUUACAGCCAGCAGGUUAGUUUUACUGCGGCAGUGUUGCGUGGACGUUCCAAAAGGGGACACAUUAGGGGGCCGCGCAGAAUAUGAAAAGGUCAUAGCAAUAAGACAAUCAAUCCCAGGGGGCAUAUUUUCAGACCGGCCUGUUUCUGUUUGCCUGACCUUUGCACAGGUAAAGCCACUGGACCUGAAAUCAUCCAGGUUCCAGUGAGCACAUCACUGAUAUAAUGUCGCUGGUCAUCUCAGUAAGAGGUAGCUGUUAGGGUCAAAAAUAGCCCUGAAGUCAACCAGGCUGCAAAUGGAGGGAAAUGCUAAUAUUGACUUUACAGCACGAUGGUGGAAAUGCUGGAAGAAUUUUGCAUGUCUGUAUGUGUGGGUGUGUGUUUGUGUGUUUUGGGCGAUACACGGACCUGUAUUUACCAGCGAAGAAACUUUUUUCCAAAGCUAAAACUUAGCAAGAGGGAAUGGCACACAUGCAUCAGUACAAAAACACCCCUGGGGGUAAUAAGCACUAAUAAGGAAGACUGAAAAAAUUUACAAUGCACAAGCAGCACUGAUUUAAUCUGCAAUCUAACUUUAUGUUCUUUUUUAAAAAAAAAAAAAGAAAAAAGUUUAACACUGCUUAAUGGAAAUCCAACACUUUUUAAAAAGCAGUGUUUGCUUUUCCCUCUUCACAAUAUGGGCUUUGUUACUUUCGUCUUGUUUUUGUCUUCCUUUGCAUCUUAAGAAAUGCCUUAAAUCGCUUGUACCAUGUGAUUGCACCAUGAUUUAGAAAGAACAGAAUGUACUCUAUAGGAAAACUACUGACGUCACAAAUUGGGUGUGAACUCUGGGAGCAAAACACAUUGUUCUGUAGAUGCGGACUGUUUUCAUU
This 1600-nucleotide long non-coding RNA is filed under the name Scleropages formosus (Asian bonytongue). Its description in RNAcentral is "lncRNA (ENSSFOG00015031168.1)". Lineage: Eukaryota; Metazoa; Chordata; Actinopteri; Osteoglossiformes; Osteoglossidae. The record is from RNAcentral.